Molecule: ribosomal RNA, 1319 nt
Filed under: Staphylococcus aureus
Lineage: Bacteria; Bacillati; Bacillota; Bacilli; Caryophanales; Staphylococcaceae
Description: bacterial SSU rRNA
Rfam family: Bacterial small subunit ribosomal RNA
Source: RNAcentral
UGGAGAGUUUGAUCCUGGCUCAGGAUGAACGCUGGCGGCGUGCCUAAUACAUGCAAGUCGAGCGAACGGACGAGAAGCUUGCUUCUCUGAUGUUAGCGGCGGACGGGUGAGUAACACGUGGAUAACCUACCUAUAAGACUGGGAUAACUUCGGGAAACCGGAGCUAAUACCGGAUAAUAUUUUGAACCGCAUGGUUCAAAAGUGAAAGACGGUCUUGCUGUCACUUAUAGAUGGAUCCGCGCUGCAUUAGCUAGUUGGUAAGGUAACGGCUUACCAAGGCAACGAUGCAUAGCCGACCUGAGAGGGUGAUCGGCCACACUGGAACUGAGACACGGUCCAGACUCCUACGGGAGGCAGCAGUAGGGAAUCUUCCGCAAUGGGCGAAAGCCUGACGGAGCAACGCCGCGUGAGUGAUGAAGGUCUUCGGAUCGUAAAACUCUGUUAUUAGGGAAGAACAUAUGUGUAAGUAACUGUGCACAUCUUGACGGUACCUAAUCAGAAAGCCACGGCUAACUACGUGCCAGCAGCCGCGGUAAUACGUAGGUGGCAAGCGUUAUCCGGAAUUAUUGGGCGUAAAGCGCGCGUAGGCGGUUUUUUAAGUCUGAUGUGAAAGCCCACGGCUCAACCGUGGAGGGUCAUUGGAAACUGGAAAACUUGAGUGCAGAAGAGGAAAGUGGAAUUCCAUGUGUAGCGGUGAAAUGCGCAGAGAUAUGGAGGAACACCAGUGGCGAAGGCGACUUUCUGGUCUGUAACUGACGCUGAUGUGCGAAAGCGUGGGGAUCAAACAGGAUUAGAUACCCUGGUAGUCCACGCCGUAAACGAUGAGUGCUAAGUGUUAGGGGGUUUCCGCCCCUUAGUGCUGCAGCUAACGCAUUAAGCACUCCGCCUGGGGAGUACGACCGCAAGGUUGAAACUCAAAGGAAUUGACGGGGACCCGCACAAGCGGUGGAGCAUGUGGUUUAAUUCGAAGCAACGCGAAGAACCUUACCAAAUCUUGACAUCCUUUGACAACUCUAGAGAUAGAGCCUUCCCCUUCGGGGGACAAAGUGACAGGUGGUGCAUGGUUGUCGUCAGCUCGUGUCGUGAGAUGUUGGGUUAAGUCCCGCAACGAGCGCAACCCUUAAGCUUAGUUGCCAUCAUUAAGGUGAAUACGUUCCCGGGUCUUGUACACACCGCCCGUCACACCACGAGAGUUUGUAACACCCGAAGCCGGUGGAGUAACCUUUUAGGAGCUAGCCGUCGAAGGUGGGACAAAUGAUUGGGGUGAAGUCGUAACAAGGUAGCCGUAUCGGAAGGUGCGGCUGGAUCACCUCCUUUCU